AAUCAACGCUGGCGGCGUGCCUCAGACAUGCAAGUCGAACGCGAAAGUCCCCUUCGGGGGACAAGUAGAGUGGCGCACGGGUGAGUAACACGUAGGUAAUCCACCUUCGGAUGGGGAAUAACAACCGGAAACGGUUGCUAAUACCGCAUAAUGCAGCGGCACCUAAUGGUGACAGUUGUUAAAGCGGGGGAUCGAAAGACCUCGCGUCUGAAGAGGAGCCUGCGGCGGAUUAGCAGUUGGUAAGGUAACGGCUUACCAAGGCGACGAUCCGUAGCCGGCCUGAGAGGGCGGUCGGCCACACUGACACUGACAUACGGGUCAGACUCCUACGGGAGGCAGCAGUCGGGAAUUUUGGGCAAUGGGCGAAAGCCUG
Molecule: ribosomal RNA, 373 nt
Filed under: uncultured bacterium
Lineage: Bacteria
Description: bacterial SSU rRNA
Rfam family: Bacterial small subunit ribosomal RNA
Source: RNAcentral